RNAcentral lists this ribosomal RNA (253 nucleotides) under uncultured bacterium. Its description in RNAcentral is "partial 16S ribosomal RNA". It matches the Rfam family "Bacterial small subunit ribosomal RNA", at positions 524 to 776 of the family's 1533-position model. The record is from RNAcentral.
UACAGAGGUCUCACGCGUUGUUCGGAUUCAUUGGGCGUAAAGGGUGCGUAGGCGGCGCGGUAAGUCGGGUGUGAAAUCUCGGAGCUUAACUCCGAAACUGCAUUCGAUACUGCCGUGCUUGAGGACUGGAGAGGAGACUGGAAUUUACGGUGUAGCAGUGAAAUGCGUAGAUAUCGUAAGGAAGACCAGUGGCGAAGGCGAAUCUCUGGACAGUUACUGACACUGAGGCACGAAGGCCAGGGGAGCAAACGGG